RNAcentral lists this long non-coding RNA (1185 nucleotides) under Lepisosteus oculatus (spotted gar). RNAcentral's name for it is "lncRNA (ENSLOCG00000022148.1)". Lineage: Eukaryota; Metazoa; Chordata; Actinopteri; Semionotiformes; Lepisosteidae. The record is from RNAcentral.
CCCAAGUCACAAGACCGGCCUGAAGGAGAGCUGUCCGGAGUGUCUCGGAUGCCAUCCCGGUGCUUUGGCUGUCCGGUUGGACUGAGGUCCAGCUGGUGACGCAGUCUCCUCAGACGCUCCCUGACCCCCCUCCCCCGCUCCCCCACCUCCACCCCUGAUAUUUAACCCUUUGCUGGCUCAGCACCUCUUCCCAGCCUUCAGAGGUGGGAGCGCCAGAGAUCACAAAUGAGAGAGAGAGAGAGAGAGAGAGAGAGUUUGGCUCAUCUGCUUUGUUUGAUGGCUUGGUAGCUCGUUGAUCCGGGGGUCUCCUGGAGACGCUGCUAGCGGGACCCCAGGGCUCCAUCUUGGUCGUUGAAGGGGACUGUUCCAGACACCCGCCCCCCCCUUUGUGUAAAGAAGCACCUCCUGCCUUCGGUCCGGAGCGAGCUACUGCUUUCGUUACUGUCCGCUCUCCUCUUGGGUGGGUCUUUGCUCUUGUCCUUAAGGGGGUUUUGAAGAUCUGGGGGCGCGUCGUGCUCGUGAUCGCUGUCCGAAACGAGAGCGAUCGAGUGGCCUGGUGCUGUUUUUAUUUAUUCUCCCAGAUCUCUGCAUGCGGUUUUCAGUCUGGCUCGGGCCUGGAGUGAGUAUGGGGCGUCACCUUGCCCUUAUACUGCAGCCAAAAUUGAUCCUUGGCGGUAACAAACAGCCGUUCCUUAAUGGGCUGGACGCAUCAUUUAUAAAACGUAACAACCCUGUUAAUGAAAAUCUUCGCGAUAUCGUGUUCUUUAACUCUCUGCCUGUGGACCUUGAAGAGGCACUACUGGAUCAGGGGUGACUGCAGAAACAGACCUGUGAGAGGAGUGAAGGAAGUGGCUGAUCGGCCAUUGGCAAGAGUCUGCGGGCUGAGGUAUUGUGGGUCCGUGGUUCCGUCAGCGGCGACGGGUGAUCAGGAACAGAUUCCUUUCUUUCCUCUUCUUCGCCUGUAUCUCUCAUUCAGUCUUCUCAAGCUGGGAGCAGGAUGGAGGGUCCCCACCUGUCUCCGGAAAGAGUGGCCACCUCCUGCGCCCCAGUUGCUUUUGGGGGGCAGGGCCCCCCCAGUUAUGCGCAAGGGCCACCUCAAAGCGCGGGUGACCAGGAGCCGAAAAUGGGAACCCCAGGAGCCGCCGCUGACCCCGUCGCCCCGAUAAUGGGCCGCCCCGCGGGGGC